AGGCAAGGAAUUAAAGGUUCACGGGGGAUGCCUAGGCACCAAGAGCCGAUGAAGGACGUAGUAAGGCGACGAAACGCCUCGGUCAGCUGCCUAACAAGCUUAACCGGGGGUGUCCGAAUGGGGAAACCCGUCUCGAUGAAUAAUCGAUUCACUUCGAAUGUAUUUGGAGUUCGAAGAGGUAAGUGGGAGAACUGAAACAUCUAAGUACCCCGAGGAAAAUAAAGCAACCGCGAUUCCCUUAGUAGUGGCGAGCGAACGGGGAACAGCCCAAACCAGUUGGUCUUAGUGGACCGGUGUCCUACGUCCAAUUGGGGUUGUAAGGCACGUCAUGGAAGGUCGCCGGGCCGACCACGGCAUAAGGUAGAUCUAGUCGAAAGUUCUGGAAAGAACUGCCGUAGAAGGUGAAAGCCCCGUAGGCGAAAGAUCUGCAUGAGUUGGACGUGACCUUGAGUACCACGGGACACGGGAAAUCCUGUGGGAAGCAGGGGGGACCACCCUCCAAGGCUAAAUACUCUUGGUGACCGAUAGUGUACUAGUACCGUGAGGGAAAGGUGAAAAGAACCCCGGGAGGGGUGUGCAAUAGACCUGAAACCGUGAACUUACAAACCGUCGGAGCCUUGUUUAUCAGGGUGACGGCGUGCCUAUUGAAGAAUGAUCCUGGGAGUUUUUCUCAGUGGCAUGGUUAAGGAAUCAGAGGUUCCGGAGCCGAAGCGAAAGCGAGUCUGAAUAGGGCGCGAGUCGCUGGGAACAGACCCGAAACCGAGUGAGCUAUCCAUGGCCAGGGUGAAGGUUCACUAAACCGAACUGGAGGCCCGAACUCAAGAGCGGUGCAAAGCUCUGGGAUGAGCUGUGGAUAGAGGUGAAAUGCCAAUCGAACUCGGAGAUAGCUGGUUCUCCCCGAAAUGCAUUGAGGUGCAGCGUCGGGAGUUUCCUUCUGGAGGUAGAGCUCUGGAUGGGUCAGGGGGCGCGAGCUUACCGAUCCCAACCAAACUACGAAUGCCAGUAAGGUUAGAUCCCGGCAGUGAGACAGUGGGGGAUAAGCUCCAUUGUCAAAAGGGAAACAGCCCAGACCAUCGGCUAAGGUCCCUAAGGUUAACUUAGUGGGCAAGGAAGUGGGGUUCCCCAAACAGCCAGGAGGUUGGCUUAGAAGCAGCCACCCUUUAAAGAGUGCGUAAUAGCUCACUGGUCGAGGGGCCCUGCGCCGACAAUGUAACGGGGCUCAAGUUAGCCACCGAAGCCGUGGGAGUCAGCUUUUUGCUGGCUCGGUAGGGGAGCGUUCCCAUACCGCUGAAGCUCAGCCGUAAGGCGAAGUGGAGGUGUGGGAAGUGAGAAUCCAGGAAUGAGUAGCGUUAACUCCGGUGAAAACCCGGAGCACCGAAAGCCCAAGGUUUCCUACGCAACGUCAGUCGGCGUAGGGUUAGGCGGGCCUAAGCCGUAGCCUAAAGGCGAAGGCGAUGGACAGUGGGUCAAUAUUCCCACCCCAUCUGUACUGCGUUAUGAACUUGAAGGGGACACAGCAAGGUAAGCGGAUCGCGUGGUUGGUUUGCGCGUCACUUGCCGUGGUUGCUCCGGCCUUUGGUCGGAGUCAAUGAGAGCAGGGGGAACUGCGAUUUCGGUCGUGGAACUCCGCUGACCCUAUUCUGUCAAGAAAAGCUUUUCAAGUCAGUACUACAGAUGCCCGUACCGCAAACCGCCACUGGUGGGCAGGGAUAAGCAUCCCAAGGUGUACGAGAGAACCCUCGUUAAGGAACUAGGCAAAUUAACCCCGUAACUUAGGGAGAAGGGGUGCCCUCGAGGUAACAGCCCUAGCGGCUACAGCCUUUGAGGGUCGCAGCGCAGCGGACCAGGCGACUGUUUACCAAAAACACAGGUCUCUGCUAAGGGGAAACCCGAAGUAUAGGGGCUGACGCCUGCCCAGUGCCGGAAGGUUAAGGGGAAAGGUUAUCAAGUGGCUUGCCACAAGAGAAGCUUUGAACCGAAGCCCCGGUGAACGGCGGCCGUAACUAUAACGGUCCUAAGGUACCGAAAUCCCUUGUCGGGUAAGUUCCGACCCGCAGGAAAGGCGUAACGGUUCUGGUCACUGUCUCAACGAGGGACUCGGCGAAAUUGCAGGGCCCGUGCAGAUGCGGGCUACUCGCUGCAGGACAAAAAGACCCCGUGGAGCUUUACUGCAGGCUGGCACUGGACUGGGGUUCGUGAUGUGUAGGAUAGGCGGGAGGCUAGGAACUUCUCACGCCAGUGAGGAGGGAGCCGUUGUUGAAAUACCGCUCUUCUCGAAUUUUGGCUCUAACUCCGGCGCCACCGGAGGACCCUGCCAGUUGGGCAGUUUGACUGGGGCGGUCGCCUCCUAAAGAGUAACGGAGGCGUCCAAAGGUCCCCUCAAGGUGGAUGGAAAUCACCUGUGGAGUGCAUGGGUAUAAGGGGGCUUGACUGCGAGGCCUACAAGCCGAGCAGGGACGAAAGUCGGGCCAAGUGAUCCUACGAUUCCGUGUGGAAGGGUCGUGGCUUAUCGGACAAAAGCUACCCCGGGGAUAACAGGCUGAUCCUGCCUAAGAGUUCACAUCGAUGGCAGGGUUUGGCACCUCGAUGUCGGCUCGUCGCAUCCUGGGGCUGCAGCAGGCCCCAAGGGUCCGGCUGUCCGCCGGUUAAAGCGGUACGCGAGCUGGGUUCAGAACGUCGUGAGACAGUUCGGUCUCUAUCCGCAGCGGGCGUUGGAAGUUUGAAGGGAGCUCUCCCUAGUACGAGAGGACCGGGAGGGACAGCCCUCUGGUGUACCGGUUGUCGCACCAGCGGCAUAGCCGGGUAGCUACGGCUGGAAGGGAUAAGCGCUGAAAGCAUCUAAGUGCGAAGCCCCCCCUUAGAUUAGACUUCCCACUCUCAACUUGUUGAGAGUUAAGGUCACAGGAAGACUACCUGUUUGAUAGGCCGCUGGUGUAAGCCUCGUAAGGGGUGUAGCUGAGCGGUACUAAUCGACCGAACGCCUUACCUAC
RNAcentral lists this ribosomal RNA (2990 nucleotides) under Chloroflexota bacterium. RNAcentral describes it as "bacterial LSU rRNA". It matches the Rfam family "Bacterial large subunit ribosomal RNA". Lineage: Bacteria; Bacillati; Chloroflexota. The record is from RNAcentral.